RNAcentral lists this ribosomal RNA (460 nucleotides) under uncultured bacterium. RNAcentral describes it as "partial 16S ribosomal RNA". It matches the Rfam family "Bacterial small subunit ribosomal RNA", at positions 338 to 795 of the family's 1533-position model. The record is from RNAcentral.
CCUACGGGAGGCAGCAGUGAGGAAUAUUGGUCAAUGGACGAGAGUCUGAACCAGCCAAGUAGCGUGAAGGAUGACUGCCCUAUGGGUUGUAAACUUCUUUUAUAAAGGAAUAAAACGAGGCACGUGUGCCUUUUUGCAUGUACUUUAUGAAUAAGGAUCGGCUAACUCCGUGCCAGCAGCCGCAGUAAUACGGAGGAUCCGAGCGUUAUCCGGAUUUAUUGGGUUUAAAGGGAGCGUAGAUGGGUUGUUAAGUCAGUUGUGAAAGUUUGCGGCUCAACCGUAAAAUUGCAAUUGAUACUGGCAGUCGUGAGUACAGUUGAGGUAGGCGGAAUUCGUGGUGUAGCGGUGAAAUGCUUAGAUAUCACGAAGAACCCCGAUUGCGAAGGCAGCUUACUAAACUGUGACUGACAUUGAUGCUCGAAAGUGUGGGUAUCAAACAGGAUUAGAUACCCGAGUAGUC